GACAGAGGAUGCAAGCGUUAUCCGGAAUGAUUGGGCGUAAAGCGUCUGUAGGUGGCUUUUCAAGUCCGCCGUCAAAUCCCAGGGCUCAACCCUGGACAGGCGGUGGAAACUACCAAGCUGGAGUACGGUAGGGGCAGAGGGAAUUUCCGGUGUAGCGGUGAAAUGCGUAGAGAUCGGAAGGAACGUCGAUGGCGAAGGCAGCCACCUGGCAUCAUACUGACGCUGAGGCGCGAAAGCGUGGGUAGCGAACAGG
RNAcentral lists this ribosomal RNA (253 nucleotides) under uncultured bacterium. RNAcentral describes it as "partial 16S ribosomal RNA". It matches the Rfam family "Bacterial small subunit ribosomal RNA", at positions 524 to 776 of the family's 1533-position model. The record is from RNAcentral.